This 1085-nucleotide long non-coding RNA is filed under the name Equus asinus (donkey). RNAcentral's name for it is "lncRNA (ENSEASG00005028096.1)". Lineage: Eukaryota; Metazoa; Chordata; Mammalia; Perissodactyla; Equidae. The record is from RNAcentral.
AAACAACAUUUCUACACACACAGAAAACAGUUAUCACAACAAAAUUCCUUACUUUAUGGAGUCACAAAUAACAAAGCGGCAGCUGGAGGACCAGCUCCCCUGGAGUCCGUGGGUUGCUGGAGAGGUGGAAAGAAGAUCUCUUAGGACCCCUACACCUACAAGAGCCUUUGAGACAAAGAUGCAACAAAGAGGCAAAGAAUAACGCAGACAGGAAAGUGAGAGAUGGCUGCUGGUUGGAUCACGGCUGGGAACGCAUGGAUGCGAAUCCAGGCUUGGCUUUAAGAGAGGGAGAGAAUGUGGAUAGAUAACACUUGAUUGAACGAGGUAUUUGACUUUUAAAAAAAAUUUGAUAUCUGAUAGGCUGUGGCAGGUAUGUUAAUAAGACAUUCUGUUAAGUCGCUGCCAUCAUGGACCUUACACACUAGCAGCUGUAGUGGGGAAAGGAGGGCAAAGCAUCAUGAAGCAAAUUGUUUUCCUCCACCUGCAGUAAGAUGUAAGUAGCAAAGGAGACAACCAGAGACACCAAGAGGCGAUCUGUAAGGCUUAGACGAGAGCCAUGUCAUUCAGAGUUCCAAGUCCAGAGACAAAUGGCAGUAAAUGGACCACAUGAAUGGACUGCAGCGAAGAGACCUGAGACAAUUCAUGCCAGUGCAGACUGAGAUGUGCAAGGCAGAAGCAAUUUAGAGAGACUGAAAGAGAAAGGAAGGCCCAGUUAAAAUCCAAAUGGAGAGAAGCACAAUGUAAAAGCAAAUUGGAAAAAGCUGAAGCAACAGAGGGACCCUCAGGAAGAUGGUGAGUGUGAGAAAAAAGCACAGGAGAAAUGUCCUCUGCAACCCAAACCCGCCUCAUCAAAUAGCUCUGGACCCAGUUUUUAUCUUUACAAGUGAUAGCUGGCUGCUGCCAACUGUUUGCAUAGUGUGUACAUUGAAAUAUUUUAUUGUUUUAUGGAUGCAAUAAAAUAAAUGUGAUUAAAGGCAGAAAUCACACUUGAGUUCUGGUGAAGGAGACUGGAAUGCUGGAACCAGGGCUUUAAAAAGCAAAGCAAGGUCUUUUAGUCAGAGAAGAGGAAUCUGUUUCCUGUUCUU